GCACGUGUGAUUUUCGUAAUGACACAGAAUAGCCCAAUCAACGGGAAGGAGAAAGUGAAAACAUAAAUUUCGAGCUGUGAUGUCAUGGGUGAUACCAGUUUGAGCCAACCGCGAAUUAAGAAUCUCAGUAGAAAGGAAAAACCUUGCCUUACCUUUACAACUUCGCUUUCUCCAUGCGUUAUGAGUUUCCACAAUCAUUUCGGUUUCGCGCUGUUGUGUUGGCUCGUUAGUUAUCCGUCCAGCAUGUGUUUUAUUUCUAGUUUUUGCUGUGAUUCUACGAACAAAAUUAUUCGUUUGUAAAGAUGACUGUUGGAGCCUCGAAGAGCAAUAAUACAGGUGUCGGAGACUUGGCGGAGCUCAUUAAGGAAGAAAGCAUCGUCAACAGCUUCUACAUCGAAGGUCUCAUUGGCAUCUUGAUCUGCAGCUUCGUGUUGCUGGCCAUUAUUGCUGUUCUGUUAUACUACGUCAUACCAUGGCGGAAAUAAAGCAACCGACUAAGAAAAGUCAAAAUGUGCCGAUGUCACGUUCUACCUACUACUAGCCUUCUGAUGUUGAGUAGGACUACACUUCAUGUACAUAUUCAUAACUUCAUAUUAGUUUUGUUGAAUGUAGCCAAUUAGUAAAUUGGCAAGAAGCAAUGGCAUCCGAAGGAACAAAUCUGAUUUUCACUUGAAGACAGCGUUAUAAUUAACAAUUAUGCUAAUAUAUAACUGGAAUGAUUUAUUUAGACAACUUCAAACUUGAUGCAAUGUAAUCUGUUAUGAGAAUGUUAUGUAAAAGUUGAAUUGAGGCACCAAGAAACGAAGGAGUGUAAAUGAAAAAAAAUGAAAGUGAAAAAGCAUUUACUUUCAGCAAGUGACGUGCUUUCUAUAUCGCAACUGUGAGAAAUCCCAACGACAUAAGGGCUCAGAAAGGGAUCCAAAGUAUGCACUUGGAAUAAAUUGUUUUAUCUAUAUAGUCUUGUAACUAGAAUCGGCGUGUCAUGUUCAAAUAACUUCCCAGUCUCCACCAUUUUCCCUUUCUAGUCAGUGGGAACAUUUCCCCCCACGCUGCUUCUGCAAUACAUAACAUUUGCUGAAGUAACGUGGAGAAAAGUUCCUAGUCUAGUGUCUUAACCAUGACAAUCAGAAGAAAAAAAGCGUGGAGAGUGGAGAAGUUAUUUGACCUUGACACGGCGAUUCUCAUUACUUAGACUAUAAUUUAAUUGAUCUGUAUUUUUGCAUUGUGUAUUUUUUGCUUCUAGUCCCUUUCACUCCCUUGCUUCUGGUUGCAUCAAUUCUCUUUUUUUUUUUUUUUUUUUGCUUUUAAAAUAUGCACAUAACGGAAAUGAUAAAUUUAUCACACACAUACAAAAGCUAAUUCAGAUAAUCUUCACAUUUCGUCAUUUGAAUUUAAAGAGACGUGGUCAUGACAACUAUGAUGUUCAAUAACGUAACAUGUGUCAAGGUAAAAAUUGUUAUUUUCAGUCUAAUUAAUUCGUUCGACUAAAGUCACGUAACCUGAUCAUUCCUCUCUUAAUUUUCUACUUUACAUUAUUCGAAAACAUCGACAAUAAAUCAUGAAGCAUGUAUUCAUUUUUUUUUUGUUAUAUUUCCUCAUGGUUUAAAAUUUACCUUUGAAAAGCAGUUGAGUCGAUGGCUAAGAUUAUUUGAUUUUUAAAGUGUGUUAGAAACUAAGAAAACAUUAUCCAAAACAGUUUCCUUCAACCGUUUGAAGCACAGGACAUAAAAACACUUUUUCUUGUGUGCUGAACUGAGAGCCUAUAGAUUCAAUUGAAGCCACUAUGCCUCAGAAGUUUAAGCUAUUUAAUUUGUGUUGUUUAUUUUUCGUUACUAAUUUCAUAUUUAAGCUUUGCUCUAUUUGUUAGCGUAAGACUUUAUCUUCUCUACUUUGGAAUAAACAAAUAACGUCUUAUGUCUUACAUUUUUCGCGUUGUUGCUUUGCAGUUAUUUUGAUUCAUUGCAAGAGCCAUUUGUAAUAUUUUGUACCUAAUUGGCCACUUAAGUGUAUUUUGUUAUUCAUUGCAAAAACAACUGAAGUGUAAUUAAAGCACGGCCUGUUAUACUUUUUCCUUGAGGGGAUAGCAGUUUACAUUUUCUGCUUAUACUUCCUGAAAGUGAAGUAAGUCACUUGAAUAUAUUUUUUCAUCUUUUCAAAACUAUGUAAUGUAAUAAAAACAAUGCAGCCUUUUUUUUCUUGAUAAAAAUGCAGUUUACCUUUUUUACGUCCCCUUCUAUGGACGUACAGGACUAUUUUGUACAUAGAUGUGUAUAUAUUUUUUUGUCGAUUUUUCAAUUCAUAUUGUUAUGGUUUUGUAAGUAUUUGACAGCAAUAAAUAUGCGUUUGAU
Uloborus diversus is the source of this 2348-nucleotide long non-coding RNA. RefSeq lists it as uncharacterized. Lineage: Eukaryota; Metazoa; Arthropoda; Arachnida; Araneae; Uloboridae. The transcript has 3 exons. The record is from RefSeq and is a predicted model, not a curated record.